UUUCCGUAGGUGAACCUGCGGAAGGAUCAUUAUUGUAUAACCGAGGUGCGAGGGCUGUCGCUGACCCGAAAGGUCGUGCACGCCCGAGUGCCCUCACACACAUCCAUCUCACCUCUAUGUGCACCACCGCGCGGGUCCCCCUUUGGCUUGUUCGGAGGGGGGCUUACGUUUUCACACAAACUUUGUAUGCAGUGUAGAAUGUAUUUUUUGUUUUUGCGAUCACGCAAUCAAUACAACUUUCAACAACGGAUCUCUUGGCUCUC
This 263-nucleotide unclassified non-coding RNA is filed under the name plant metagenome. RNAcentral's name for it is "partial contains small subunit ribosomal RNA, internal transcribed spacer 1, and 5.8S ribosomal RNA". The record is from RNAcentral.